Molecule: ribosomal RNA, 211 nt
Filed under: Catocala sp. UMSP-Utah
Lineage: Eukaryota; Metazoa; Arthropoda; Insecta; Lepidoptera; Erebidae
Description: partial 28S large subunit ribosomal RNA
Rfam family: Eukaryotic large subunit ribosomal RNA
Source: RNAcentral
CAAGGAGUCUAGCAUGUAUGCGAGUCAUUGAGAUAAUAAAACUGAAAGGCGCAACGAAAGUGAAGGCGCGCGCUUGCCGCGCGCUCAGGGAGGAUGGAGGUCGAUCUCGGUCGAUCUCUCGCACUCCCGAGGCGUCUCGUUUCCAAUCUGUGAAUGUAGGCGCGCUCUGAGCAUAAAUGCUGGGACCCGAAAGAUGGUGAACUAUGCCUGG